GUUUUAAUCCUAGCCGAAUAACAAACAAAUAAUACUACCUUUAUCAUAAUAAACUAAACCAUUCAACUAAGUAGUAUAGGCGAUAGAACCUUUUUAACGAGCAACAACAAAAGUACUGCAAAGGAAAGAUUAAAUAAAAAUGAAAAAAAUAACAAAAACAAAAAAAAGAAAAGAUUAAACCCUGUACCUUUUGCAUAAUGGUCUAGUUAGUCAAAUUUAACUUAAAGAAAUAAAGUUAAUCUCCCCGAAACCAGACGAGCUACUCAAGAGCAGCAUAAUAGAGCCAACCCUUCUCUGUGGCAAAAGAGUGGGAUGACUUUUGAGUAGAGGUGAAAAGCCUAACGAGCCUGGUGAUAGCUGGUUACUCAAGAAAUGAAUUUUAGUUCAGCUUAAUGUCCUUUAUAUUAUUAAAAAAAUAAAAUAAGACUUUAAAGUUAAUUAAUAGGGGUACAGCCCUAUUAAUAUAGGAUACAACCUACAAUAUGAAUAAAGAUUAUAAUUACAAAAGAAAUUAACCAUGUAGGCCUAAAAGCAGCCACCAAAGAAAGCGUCAAAGCUCAGUUCAACAAAACUUAUUAUACUAAUAAAAAAUCUGAAUUCACACUUAAUAUUGAGCCUAUCUACAAUGUAGAUGAGUUUAUACUAGAAUGAGUAAUAAGAAUUAUAUCUCUAAAUACAUGUGUAGAUCAGAACGAAAAAAAUCACUGAUAAUUAACGACUAAAUAUAAAAUAACAAGAACCGAUAUUAAAAAUACCGUUAACCCGACACAGGAGUAUAAAAGAAAGAUUAAAAGAUUAAAAAGGAACUCGGCAAACAAGAACUUCGCCUGUUUACCAAAAACAUCGCCUCUUGCAACACUAGUAUAAGAGGUCCUGCCUGCCCAGUGAACAAUUUAACGGCCGCGGUAUAAUGACCGUGCAAAGGUAGCGUAAUCACUUGUCUUUUAAAUAAAGACCCGUAUGAAUGGCAAGACGAAAGUUCAACUGUCUCUUUGAUCUAAUCAAUGAAAUUUAUCUUCCCGUGCAGAAGCGGAAAUAUGCCUAUAAGACGAGAAGACCCUAUGGAGCUUUAAAUAUAUAUUAACUAUACCAUAUAAUUUUUCCCAAGGACAGAACAUUAAACUGUAUAGUAAUAAUUAAAAUUUUGGGUUGGGGCGACCACGGAAGACAAGAGAUCAUCCGAGAUGAAUAAUUUAGAAAGACACUUCAAAAUCUAAAACAUUUACCAUAAAUGAUCCACUAAGUGACCAACGAACCAAGUUACCCUAGGGAUAACAGCGCAAUCCUUUCCAAGAGUCCAUAUCGACGAAUGGGUUUACGACCUCGAUGUUGGAUCAGGACACCCAAAUGGUGCAGCCGCUAUUAAAGGUUCGUUUGUUCAACGAUUAAAGUCCUACGUGAUCUGAGUUCAGACCGGAGCAAUCCAGGUCAGUUUCUAUCUAUAAAAAAUUUUUUCUAGUACGAAAGGACCGAAAAAAUAGAGCCACUUACUCACUAAAGCUCUUUAUAAGUUGAAGACAAAUAAAACCACAAAGAAAUAAUUCUACCCAAGAACAGGGAACAA
RNAcentral lists this ribosomal RNA (1564 nucleotides) under Salamandrina terdigitata (spectacled salamander). RNAcentral's name for it is "16S ribosomal RNA". It matches the Rfam family "Bacterial large subunit ribosomal RNA", at positions 364 to 2832 of the family's 2925-position model. Lineage: Eukaryota; Metazoa; Chordata; Amphibia; Caudata; Salamandridae. The record is from RNAcentral.